This 2087-nucleotide ribosomal RNA is filed under the name Grandivesica nr. agnew Msp191. RNAcentral's name for it is "partial large subunit ribosomal RNA". It matches the Rfam family "Eukaryotic large subunit ribosomal RNA", at positions 47 to 1868 of the family's 3401-position model. Lineage: Eukaryota; Metazoa; Arthropoda; Insecta; Hemiptera; Miridae. The record is from RNAcentral.
UAAGCGGAGGAAAAGAAACUAACGAGGAUUCCCUUAGUAGCUGCGAGCGAACAGGGAAAAGCCCAGCACUGAAUCCCGGGGGCCUCGCCUCCAGGGAAAUGUAGUGUUUGGGAGGGUCCAUACACCCGAUACCGUCGCACCGCGUCCAAGUCCAUCUUGAAAGAGGCCACGGUCCCGAGAGGGUGCCAGGCCCGUGGUAGGCCGGUGCAGGUGUUGGGUGGACCUCUCCUCAGAGUCAGGUUGCUUGAGAGUGCAGCCCUAAGCGGGUGGUAAACUCCAUCUAAGGCUAAAUACAACCACGAGACCGAUAGCGAACAAGUACCGUGAGGGAAAGUUGAAAAGAACUUUGAAGAGAGAGUUCAAGAGUACGUGAAACCGCUCAGGGGUAAACGGAAAAGACCCGAAAUUUCCGAAGAGGGAGAUUCACGUCUUCUCGCAGGUUCGACGCAUCCAUUCCUCUCCGACGACCCUGCCCCCGUUCGGACUCNGUCCGGUGCGUGGCGGUGGGGUUGCAGAGGGUGGUGUGGAGGCCCGCGGCGGACCGCACUUCUCCCUUAGUAGGACGUCGUGACCCGUCCGGUCAUGGUCAUAAGGGUGCAGGGUGGAGCCUGACCGAUCGUGCUUGCACGUCUUCGGUCAGACCCCCGUGCCCCGGCCAUGAAUUUCGGUCGGUAUCGAAUGACAGUGUUAGGUCACUUACCGGGGGAGGCAACUCCUUUCAGUGAGUGCGUGUGGCUCUCGACAAGGUGCUGGGAUGUCGGUCAAGGCGGGCUCCCGUCCGUCUGGCCCCGCUCGGCCCUGUUGGUCUUGCUGCUCUCACGCUGGCCUAUCUACACUCGUCUACGGCGAAUCAGUUUUGGGCUCUUGUCCGACCCGUCUUGAAACACGGACCAAGGAGUUCAGCGUGUACGCGAGUCAUUGGGUGGUAAAACCCAAAGGCGUAAUGAAAGUGAAGGGAACUUUACGUUUCUGAGGGAGGAUGAGUCGGUUACCCGCAAGGGGCUGCUCCGCACUCCCGGGGCGUCUCUUUCUCAUUGCGAGUGGAGGCGCACCCAGAGCGUACACGCUGAUACCCGAAAGAUGGUGAACUAUGCCUGGCCAGGACGAAGCCAGGGGAAACCCUGGGUGGAGGUCCGCAGCGAUUCUGACGUGCAAAUCGAUCGUCGGAACUGGGUAUAGGAUAGAUGAGAACUCCGGCUUUUCUUGAACUUUGUUUUUGAAGCCGGGGGGCUCGGAUCAGAGUGCCAAGUGGGCCAAUUUUGGUAAGCAGAACUGGCGCUGUGGGAUGAACCAAACGUCGAGUUAAGGCGCCCAAAUCGACGCUCAUGUGAAACCAUGAAAGGCGUUGGUUGCUUAAGACAGCAGGACGGUGGCCAUGGAAGUCGGAAUCCGCUAAGGAGUGUGUAACAACUCACCUGCCGAAGCAACUAGCCCUGAAAAUGGAUGGCGCUGUAGCGUCGUGCCUAUACUCGACCGUCAACGGCAAAGAUGGCUGGCGGGCAACCGUCGGCCGUUACGCCUUGACGAGUAGGAGGGCCGCGGCGGCGUGCGUAGAAGGGUCUGGGCGCGAGCCUGCCUGGAGCCGCCGUCGGUGCAGAUCUUGGUGGUAGUAGCAAAUACUCCAGCGAGGCCCUGGAGGACUGAUGUGGAGAAGGGUUUCUUGUGAACAGCUGUUGCACAAGAGUCAGUCGGUCCUAAGCCCUAGGAGAAAUCCGAAGCGAUGGGUUGCCGUUAAUGUCAAACAACAUGAAGGCACCCGUUUGGGCGAAAGGGAAUCCGGUUCCUAUUCCGGAACCUGGCAGUGGAACCGUUCCAAUUCGGGCCCUCUGAGGACUCGUCAGGGCAACCUGAAUAGACCCGGAGACGCCGACAGGAGGUUGGGGGGAAGAGUUGUCUUCUUCUCUAUAAGCGAUCGAGUUCCCUGGAAACUUCUAGCAAGGAGAUAGGGUUUGGGAUCGCGAAAGAGCACUGCAGGUUACGGGCAGUGUCCCCAAUCUUUCCUCUCGGAACCUUGAAAAAUCCGGGGUGAGGGGCCACGAGGAAACCCCACGCCCGGACCGUAACCCAUAUUCCCCAGCAAGGUCUCC